UGUCACCGGAAAAGUUAUUAGCUCCGAGGUCUAAAUAUUUGAGAUUUGAAAGCCAGUGAUCAAUAUCAUCCGGGAUUGGACCCACAAAAUAAUUUUGAGAAAAAUUCAACCUUUGUAGCUUUGAGCAGUUGAAAACAGCUCUUGGAAAUCCUCCGGGGAUGUAGUUAAAGGACAAGUCAAGAAUGGUGAGGUUUGUGAGGUCACAGAUUGUUGCCGGGAUUUCUACUGAGAUGUCCUUGUUACUGAGCAAAAGGUUGGUAACCUUACCGUCGGCGCAUGAAAUCUCCGUCCAACUGCACGGCGAGGAUGAGGAGGUCCAGGACUGUAGAGACAGUGGAUUGCCCAGUUGUUGCUUGAGCUUCAAGAGGAUGUCAAGCUCUGUGUCAACAUUUUGUGAAAUUACAAGGAAGGGUAUGGAUGUUAUGAGUAAGUAUAGGAAGAGGUUCAGAAAUGGCAAGGUUAGUUUAGACAUAUUGAACCGAUUCAAUCAAUUGCUCAGUUGGAUUUAUUUUUGCCGGGAAAAGGGAAGAGAAACUAG
RNAcentral lists this unclassified non-coding RNA (538 nucleotides) under Hevea brasiliensis (rubber tree). Lineage: Eukaryota; Viridiplantae; Streptophyta; Magnoliopsida; Malpighiales; Euphorbiaceae. The record is from RNAcentral.